Long non-coding RNA from Homo sapiens (human), 855 nucleotides. Lineage: Eukaryota; Metazoa; Chordata; Mammalia; Primates; Hominidae. The record is from Ensembl.
GGAAGCGGAAGCAGGAAGGAACUGAGAACACCAGCAUCUGCUGCCGCCCUGAAUCAGCGUUAGCAUGUGGAGGCAACCUCAGCCCCCAGUUUUUGAAGAAGGUGAUUCAGAUUCAGACACAGGAAUUAUGGUGACGGUAGAAAUGGACUGGAAGGUUCGUUCCCCUUGCCCACCAAGACUCCAGAGCAGUUUCUUUCAGGGUGGAAACAGUCCCAACCUAGAAAGCUGAUCAGAAGACUCCCACCCACAUACCAGCAAUUGGUAUCUGCAUGGCUACGUACGCAGCUUCCUCUGAAUCCAGGUGAAUAGAUGAACAAACUGUGAUACAUCUAUGCAAGGGUGGACAACUCGGCCAUCAAAACGAAUGAACUAUUAACACACAACCUGGAUGAAUCCGAACGAAAUGCAUUACGCUAAUGAUAAAGCCAGAUUCAAAGGCUACAAAGCACAUAAUCAUAUUUAUGCCAGUUACGUGACAUUCUGGAAAAAGCAAACUAUAGGGACUGAAAACAGGGGCUACAAAGGAGCACAGGGGAAUUUGGGGGGUGUCAGAUCUGUUCCAUAUCUUGAAUUGUGGGUGGCUACAGUCUCAAGGAACUUUAUACUGAAAAGAGUCAUCUACUGUUUGUAAUUAUACCUGUUUUUAAAAAACACAGAAAUUAUCACGUAUAGGAGGAAAUAGUUAUAUUACUUUCUGGACAAUUGAGUCAUAUUCUAAAAUUGAUUAAUGUUUAAGUAAAAUCUACAAAAGUUAGUUCACUAGCAAUGAAACUGUAACAAAAUAACAAGAUAUCAAUUUACAUGGCUUACAUACAUGUGCUGCCAAUAUAGAGAAAUAAUACCAUCAUUUGACAA